AGAGUUUGAUCCUGGCUCAGAAUGAACGCUGGCGGCGUGCCUAACACAUGCAAGUCGUACGAGAAAGGGGCUUCGGCCCUGAGUAGAGUGGCGCACGGGUGAGUAACGCGUGGGUAAUCUCCCCUUGGAUUUGGGAUAACUCUGCGAAAGUGGAGCUAAUACCGGAUAGUCUGGCUUUAAUUGAUAAGUCGGUAAAGGAUGCCUCUGCAUAUGCAUUCGUCCAAGGAUGAGCCCGCGUCUCAUUAGCUAGUUGGUAGGGUAAUGGCCUACCAAGGCAACGAUGAGUAGCUGGUCUGAGAGGAUGAUCAGCCACACUAGAACUGAAACACGGUCCAGACUCCUACGGGAGGCAGCAGUGGGGAAUAUUGCGCAAUGGGCGAAAGCCUGACGCAGCAACGCCGUGUGAGGGAUGAAGGCUUUCGGGUCGUAAACCUCUGUCGGAAGGGAAGAACGGGUGAGGGUCUAAUAGGCCUUCAUUUUGACGGUACCUUUAGAGGAAGCACCGGCUAACUCCGUGCCAGCAGCCGCGGUAAUACGGAGGGUGCAAGCGUUAUUCGGAAUUACUGGGCGUAAAGCGCGUGCAGGCGGUUUGGCAAGUCUGAUGUGAAGGCCCCGGGCUUAACCUGGGAAGUGCAUUGGAAACUGCCGGACUUGAGUACUGGAGAGGAAGGGGGAAUUCCCGGUGUAGAGGUGAAAUUCGUAGAGAUCGGGAGGAAUACCAGUGGCGAAGGCGCCCUUCUGGACGGUUACUGACGCUGAGACGCGAAAGCGUGGGGAGCAAACAGGAUUAGAUACCCUGGUAGUCCACGCUGUAAACGAUGAGCACUAGGUGUAGCGGGUACUCAUUCCUGCUGUGCCGCAGCUAACGCGUUAAGUGCUCCGCCUGGGGAUUACGGUCGCAAGACUAAAACUCAAAGGAAUUGACGG
This 927-nucleotide ribosomal RNA is filed under the name uncultured bacterium. RNAcentral describes it as "bacterial SSU rRNA". It matches the Rfam family "Bacterial small subunit ribosomal RNA", at positions 8 to 916 of the family's 1533-position model. The record is from RNAcentral.